Molecule: ribosomal RNA, 468 nt
Filed under: uncultured bacterium
Lineage: Bacteria
Description: partial 16S ribosomal RNA
Rfam family: Bacterial small subunit ribosomal RNA
Source: RNAcentral
GACGAACGCUGGCGGCGUGCUUAACACAUGCAAGUCGAACGGAAAGGCCCUGCUGUUGUGGGGUGCUCGAGUGGCGAACGGGUGAGUAACACGUGAGUAACCUGCCCUUUACUUUGGGAUAACUUCAGGAAACUGGGGCUUAUACCGGAUAGGUGCUCCUCCUGCAUGGUGUGGGUUGGAAAGUUUCGGCGGUUGGGGAUGGACUCGCGGCUUAUCAGCUUGUUGGUUGGGUAGUGGCGUACCAAGGCUUUGACGGGUAGCCGGCCUGAGAGGGUGACCGGCCACAUUGGGACUGAGAUACGGCCCAGACUCCUACGGGAGGCAGCAGUGGGGAAUAUUGCACAAUGGGCGGAAGCCUGAUGCAGCAACGCCGCGUGCGGGAUGACGGCCUUCGGGUUGUAAACCGCUUUCGCCUGUGACGAAGCGUGAGUGACGGUAAUGGGUAAAGAAGCACCGGCUAACUACGUG